Molecule: unclassified non-coding RNA, 46 nt
Filed under: Mammarenavirus piritalense
Lineage: Riboviria; Orthornavirae; Negarnaviricota; Bunyaviricetes; Hareavirales; Arenaviridae
Description: 5' non-coding region (NCR)
Source: RNAcentral
CGCACAGUGGAUCCUAGGCAUAUAAGUCUACGCCAACUUCAGGAUC